RNAcentral lists this non-coding RNA (20 nucleotides) under Arabidopsis thaliana (thale cress). Lineage: Eukaryota; Viridiplantae; Streptophyta; Magnoliopsida; Brassicales; Brassicaceae. The record is from RNAcentral.
GGUUCUGGCGCCGGUUCUGG